GAUAAACGCUGGCGGUGUGCUUUAUGCAUGCAAGUCGAACGAUUUCGAUUUAUCGAGAUAGUGGCAAACGGGUGAGUAACACGUAAGUAACCUGCCCCUAAGUAAGGAAUAACUCUGAGAAAUUGGAGCUAAUACUGUAUGUGGUGGUGGGGGUAAGGCUCCAUCACUAAAGCCUUCGGGUGCUUGGGGAGGGGCUUGCGUCUGAUUAGCUAGUUGGUAAGGUAAUGGCCUACCAAGGCGACGAUCGGUAGCUGGUUUAAGAGGACAAUCAGCCACACUGGGACUGAGACACGGCCCAGACUCCUACGGGAGGCAGCAGCAAGGAAUAUUGUGCAAUGGGCGAAAGCCUGACACAGCGACACCGCGUGGGGGAUGAAGGCCUUCGGGUUGUAAACCCCUUUUCCCAGGGAAGAAAAAUGACGGUACCUGGGGAAUAAGUCUUGGCUAACUACGUG
This 455-nucleotide ribosomal RNA is filed under the name uncultured bacterium. Its description in RNAcentral is "bacterial SSU rRNA". It matches the Rfam family "Bacterial small subunit ribosomal RNA", at positions 28 to 507 of the family's 1533-position model. The record is from RNAcentral.